GACAGAGUGAGAGAGAAGCACUCGGUGACCCCCAGACAGAGUGAGAGAGAAGCACUCGGUGACCCCCAGACAGAGUGAGAGAGAAGCACUCGGUGACCCCCAGACAGAGUGAGAGAGAAGCACUCGGUGACCCCCAGACAGAGUGAGAGAGAAGCUCUCGGUGACCCCCAGACAGAGUGAGAGAGAAGCACUCGGUGACCCCCAG
Pelobates cultripes (western spadefoot toad) is the source of this 205-nucleotide non-coding RNA. The record is from the annotation of a GenBank genome assembly. NCBI's taxonomy places the organism in Eukaryota, Metazoa, Chordata, Amphibia, Anura, Pelobatidae.